GAGGGUAUAGCUCAACUCAAGUGGUAGAGCACAUGCUUAGUAUGCUUGAGGUCCUGGGUUCAAUCCCCAGUACUUCCU
RNAcentral lists this transfer RNA (78 nucleotides) under Camelus bactrianus (Bactrian camel). It matches the Rfam family "tRNA". From Rfam's summary of the family: Transfer RNA (tRNA) molecules are approximately 80 nucleotides in length. Their secondary structure includes four short double-helical elements and three loops (D, anti-codon, and T loops). RNAcentral also lists the same sequence under 1 other name. Lineage: Eukaryota; Metazoa; Chordata; Mammalia; Artiodactyla; Camelidae. The record is from Rfam by way of RNAcentral.